RNAcentral lists this long non-coding RNA (630 nucleotides) under Phoenix dactylifera (date palm). Its description in RNAcentral is "long non-coding RNA (PDAC_LNC007880)". Lineage: Eukaryota; Viridiplantae; Streptophyta; Magnoliopsida; Arecales; Arecaceae. The record is from RNAcentral.
GGUCUACGCCAGACUCAGUCCCAUCAGGCUCGACCUCCCCUCGCCACUUAUGCUAGAAGGAUGAGGACUAGAUCACAGCCCUUAGAUUCCCCCUAGGCCCGAUGUUAGCACUUCAGUAGUCUAUCAUGUCUAGUGUCUAGGAAAUAUCUAGUUCUUAUAUGCAUUUUACUUGGUUUAUGUAUUUUACACCUUAAUUGAAGAACAUUGUACAUUUGGCCUUAAUGUACUACAAUGUUCUAUUUUGAUCAAUGAAAUUUGAACUUUUAUCAUUUACUGCUUCUACUUAUCUGUUGCUAUAUACUUGUUUGAUGAUAACAAAAAGGGGAAAAAGUAAGAAAAGAAAGAAGUUGCAAUAUAAAGGGACAAAUAAGUUUGAAAAUUAUAGUAAGAGAUAAUAUUCACUUAAGGGGGAGCAAUAUGUAACAAUGAAAAUUUUUAAAACAAGAAAGUCUGAAUUUUUAAUCAAAAUUUCUGAAUUUGUCACAUACUUCUCGUGCCUCGAUACAUAACCUGAAACUCUUGCUUUAUCUCAAAUUUUUGAAGUUUCAUUCUUAAUAAAAUACAAAAGAAAGGGGGAGAAAAUCAAAUGUUCUAAUUGGCAAUAUUUGGAUGAAAGAGGGGGAGCAUUCA